ACGAAGGGGGCGAGCGUUGUUCGGAUUUACUGGGCGUAAAGGGCGCGCAGGCGGCGGACCAAGUCAGGCGUGAAAGCCCCGGGCUUAACCUGGGAACUGCGUCUGGGACUGGUCUGCUAGAGAUCGGGAGAGGAGAGUGGAAUUCCCAGUGUAGAGGUGAAAUUCGUAGAUAUUGGGAAGAACACCGGUGGCGAAGGCGGCUCUCUGGACCGAUACUGACGCUGAGGCGCGAAAGCGUGGGGAGCAAACAGGA
Molecule: ribosomal RNA, 253 nt
Filed under: uncultured prokaryote
Description: partial 16S ribosomal RNA
Rfam family: Bacterial small subunit ribosomal RNA
Source: RNAcentral